Long non-coding RNA from Triticum dicoccoides, 1185 nucleotides. RefSeq lists it as uncharacterized. Lineage: Eukaryota; Viridiplantae; Streptophyta; Magnoliopsida; Poales; Poaceae. The record is from RefSeq and is a predicted model, not a curated record. The transcript has 4 exons.
GUUUCUCUCUUUUUGCUUUAAUUUGUUGUAUGGGAUCAAUGGAUACUUCUUAGCAAAUGAUCAAUUGAUUAUUUUCUUAUGACAUACUAUUUUUUACAUGGAACUAAAAAGAACAUUGGUAUUCUGAGAAAAUAAGAUUAAUGAAGUCAUAUAUUUUGUUUAAAUCAAGUAAGGUAGCAUACAUGUAGCUUUACUUGCUAUUUUUGCAUCAUGGAUGCUGAAACCUGAUGCCAUGUACAUCAGUGUAAGUGUGUUGCCAUGACAAGCAGAUGAUGUGUGUCAUGAUGAGAGAAACGCAAGUAAUGGUUGCGUUAGUGUUGCAUAUAUAUCACUGAUUGUGUGUAUCUACUGCUCGGUUGAUUAAAUAAUUAGUGGCUCACUAAUUAAAUAAACCUGGAUGCUAGAAUGAAUUUGUGGCUCCCUAAUUAAACAACCCAGGAUGAAUCUUUCUACAAUGGAGCUAAUUAAACAAACUAGGAUAAUAAAAUUAAUUAGUGGUUCACUACUUAACCAAGCCAGGAGGCUAAAACUUGCUAUAAUGGAUUCUUGAAUUGCUAACUUAUAUAUGGCUCAUGUCAAUUGAGGAUUGCAUAUAUUCAAGCAGGUCGUCGGUGCUCUGUUGGUUGAUGGAUUUUUCUUAUCUGCCAGCAGACCGCACUGGAGGCUGCCGCCAUAUCUGAGGACAUCGUGAUGAGGUUGCCGCUUUGGCCAUAGCAGAGGGGAUCCGGCCGGCACGCCGCGUCUCCCAUAAACAUGCCUAAUUUUAUAUUCAGAGGAAUGUAUCCAUGUACUCGGAAACCUGUGAACUCUUUGAUACACCUUUUAUGUGUUGCUUUUGGUCUUGAUAGAGGGAGAUACAUUGACAGGAAGUGCUCACUCGCUAGAAUUGUUUCUAUCAGGGGCAGAAUUAUUGUUGAAACAUGCACUGUGUGAAGAUGAAUAGGAACCUUUCAUAAUUAUUCCCAAACAUGCCACUGUGUCAUCAUUGGCCAAUGCAGGUAUUGCUCUCUAGCUGAUAUAUUGUUUAGUUCUUCUUGGUUUCAAUUAUGUUGGCCCUCCUUAAGAUUGCUUGGGAAUGUGAGGCUUCAAAGUUUCAACCCUGUGCAAGGCUCCAAAGCUUUACCAGUUUUCCACUUGCUUUCAAAUGAAUUUGUCAUUGAAGAAACCAUGAAUUCUUUUGUUUUC